This 478-nucleotide ribosomal RNA is filed under the name uncultured Planctomycetales bacterium. Its description in RNAcentral is "bacterial SSU rRNA". It matches the Rfam family "Bacterial small subunit ribosomal RNA", at positions 364 to 832 of the family's 1533-position model. Lineage: Bacteria; Pseudomonadati; Planctomycetota; Planctomycetia; Planctomycetales. The record is from RNAcentral.
UUUCGCAAUGCCCGAAAGGGUGACGAAGCGACGCCGCGCGUGGGAAGAAGGCCUUCGGGUUGUAAACCACUGUCAGGAGUUAGGAAAUGCAGGUGCGUUAAUAGCGUUCUUACUUGACUAAAGCUCCAGAGGAAGCCACGGCUAACUCUGUGCCAGCAGCCGCGGUAAUACAGAGGCGGCAAGCGUUGUUCGGAAUUAUUGGGCGUAAAGAGCACGUAGGCGGCUCUGCAAGUCAGCUGUGAAAGCCUUCUGCUUAACGGAAGAACGGCAGUUGAAACUACAGGGCUUGAGUGCGGGAGGGGAGAGUGGAACUUCUGGUGGAGCGGUGAAAUGCGUAGAUAUCAGAAGGAACGCCGGCGGCGAAAGCGGCUCUCUGGUCCGUAACUGACGCUGAGUGUGCGAAAGCUAGGGGAUCAAACGGGAUUAGAUACCCCGGUAGUCCUAGCCGUAAACGAUGGGCACUAAGUAGAGGGGUUUU